AGUUGUAAUUUGGAGAGGGCAACUUUGGGGCCGUUCCUUGUCUAUGUUCCUUGGAACAGGACGUCAUAGAGGGUGAGAAUCCCGUGUGGCGAGGAGUGCGGUUCUUUGUAAAGUGCCUUCGAAGAGUCGAGUUGUUUGGGAAUGCAGCUCUAAGUGGGUGGUAAAUUCCAUCUAAAGCUAAAUAUUGGCGAGAGACCGAUAGCGAACAAGUACAGUGAUGGAAAGAUGAAAAGAACUUUGAAAAGAGAGUGAAAAAGUACGUGAAAUUGUUGAAAGGGAAGGGCAUUUGAUCAGACAUGGUGUUUUGUGCCCUCUGCUCCUUGUGGGUAGGGGAAUCUCGCAUUUCACUGGGCCAGCAUCAGUUUUGGUGGCAGGAUAAAUCCAUAGGAAUGUAGCUUGCCUCGGUAAGUAUUAUAGCCUGUGGGAAUACUGCCAGCUGGGACUGAGGACUGCGACGUAAGUCAAGGAUGCUGGCAUAAUGG
This 482-nucleotide ribosomal RNA is filed under the name Saccharomyces cerevisiae (brewer's yeast). RNAcentral describes it as "LSU rRNA". It matches the Rfam family "Eukaryotic large subunit ribosomal RNA", at positions 141 to 637 of the family's 3401-position model. The record is from RNAcentral. Lineage: Eukaryota; Fungi; Ascomycota; Saccharomycetes; Saccharomycetales; Saccharomycetaceae.